Long non-coding RNA from Carassius gibelio (silver crucian carp), 2518 nucleotides. RefSeq lists it as uncharacterized. Lineage: Eukaryota; Metazoa; Chordata; Actinopteri; Cypriniformes; Cyprinidae. The record is from RefSeq and is a predicted model, not a curated record. The transcript is spliced from 3 exons.
AAACAUAAAAAAGCCACGGAGGGCAGAGGUUCAUUUCUGUCCAAACCAUCCGAGAGGUGAAACCAAUGACAGCCUGGAGGUGGAAAGGGUUGCUCUAUUGACCGAGGUUAAAAAAAAUAAUAACAAGACCGUUAUCAAGGAAAAGAUGCAGCGUACCUUCUCAUACCAACGACAAUAAAUUCUUCAGGAGCCAAUGAUUACAGAGGUCCGAAACAGAUGGCCAGCAUUGUUUGAAAUUGGAGAAGUAAACUUGGAGUUCAUGCGUAUAACAACUGUUCCGCUGAUAUCAAAAUUCAUUGGUCAACUGGACAAAUACACUGAUGGCCUGGAAAGGAGGCCAUCAAAGGAGGAUGUGCAGGACAGAAAAUCCACACCAUAAUGGCAUUGACAGCUAAAGUAAGUGUGUUUUUAUGUUUUGCUUUUUUUUUUCAACCAGUUACUCAUUUGACUUGACAGGAAUUCAGAAAUCUCUCUCACACGCACACACACACACACACACACACACACACUUUCUCUAUCCCUCUGAGAUGCCAAGAACACAAUCUUUCUUACACAUUAAAUACACAUUUAUUUGAUUUAUUAGUGAGGACAUCUCAGUCUCUUUCACACACAUGCACACAGUCUUUCUAUUUCUCUCUAUUCAAAUUAAAGAACUUUAUUGCCAUUAUUGUUUAUGCACGAUAUUUUUAAAACAUUAUUCAUAUAAAUAAGUUGCUAGAUAAUUAAGAUUAUUGUCUGUGUAUAGUGUUUUAUAAUAGUGUAUUAGUUCACCCCAAAAUAAAAAAGUGUUAUUAACUGAACCUCAUGACGUUCCAAACCCGUAACUUAUCUUCGAAACACUAUGGAGCCCCACACAUGACAUGCAAGAAAAAAAGUUAAUCGUGUGCACAAUUUAAUAAUUCAUUCCCUUGAUUCGCUAAAUCGUGUGCACAAUUACAUUUUUUUUUCUUGCAUGUCAUGUGCAGGGCUCUGUACAACACAAACAAAUAUAUUUUUAAUGAAAUCUGAGAGGUUUCUGUUCCUCUAUUGACAGCUACGCUACCAAUACUUUGACAUUCCAAAAAUGUUAUCAAGAGAUCAUAAAACUAUUCCAUAUGAAUUGAGCAGUUUAGUCCAAAAUUUCUGAAGAAAUUAACAGAUUGAAUUUAGGCUUUUUUUUUCAAACAAACAUUCAUUACCUCACAUCAGUUAGAGUAAACGGAAGCUCAGGAAUUUUUGCAUCGAUGUGCGAGAACCAGUGAGGUUUGUUCUAGUGUGUUAAACAGGUUCGGUUGAGCUUCUGUUUAUGUUUGCUGAUCAAUGUUUAUACAAUAAAAGCCUAAAUUUAGUCUGUUCAUUAAAAAAAUGCGAUCAUGUCUCAUUAGAAAAUUUGGACUAAAAUGCUCAAUUCAUAUGGAAUAGUUUUAUGAUCUCUUUAUGAAUUAUUUGAAGCGUCAAAGUGGUGAUUGUGUAGCUGUCAAUGGAGAAACAAAGUUUUCAGAUUUCUUAAAAAGAGAUCUUCAUUUGUGUUCUGAAGAUGAACAAAAGUUGGACAAAAUUUAUGACAUAAUUGUAAAUUUUGGGUGAACUACCUCUUUAAAAUGUAGCCUUACUUGAACUAUUAGUUAAUAAUUAAUGACGUUUUUUGGGAUCUUCUUAUGCUUGUUUGAGAAUGAAGACAAAAACACCAGACGUGAUUGUAUCCUGAGGUGCCUAAGUGUCUACCUCAAUGAAGACAUCAAGACACUUGUCAAAGAAUAUGUGGACUGUGGAGGCUGAAUCUCUCAUUGCACAGACAACAAUGGGCAUCCAUGUCAUUCGAGCGGAGGGCGCUGGUCCUGAAGAAGAACCUUCAGAUGUUGGUGUUGUUCUAGAAGGAGUUGAAGUUCUGCAAAACCUGCCAAGUGUCACACUUGGAUGUGUGAUGCUUUUUGGACUAAUUGAUGCCCUUAACCUAAACUAUCCAAAAGACCUCAAGUGCACAUUUGAAGCAUUUCAGGAAAUCCUGAUGGAACUGGAUACAACCAAGCUGUCGCCAAAAGUUCAGGGACUGAAAAUUAAGAUGCUUCAGUGAAUCAUUGAGAGAUAUGUUGAUAUUUACAUUUUUCCCCUUGACUUGCACUUUUUCUACUCGUGAGAACCACCACCCUAUUUUUCCAAAUUAUUGCAUUUCACAGAUUUGUGAAAAUGUUUGUGUAAUGUUAACAAGUGUUAGUCAUUGAAUCAGAUUUGACCUGAUUGUUACGUCUACCUCAAGUUUUGCAGUUUUUUUUAAGCACAGUUCUUGAGGAAAAAGUACUGUGCCUGCAGUCUGUUAAAAUCCUUUGCAUUUAUUUAUUAUAGGAUGGUUGUGGCAAAAAAACAAAUAAAUAAAGUAGUGCAAUUAACCUUGGUUUGUUAAGUAAAGAAUGAAAUUACAUUAAUUUUUGUUGAGGUUGUACACAACACAGUACAAGUGAGCAGAGACCGUCUUGCUAGCUCCUCUUUUUGCUGCCUUUUGUGCUUGUUAUUUCUAAAAUAAAAAUGUGAAAUGAAGUGA